UUUUAGCCCCGAUAGUCCCGAAGCUUCGGGAGGCAUCCUUUUCUUGCUUUUUUUGAGCAAGAAAAGAUAAAGUGGAUAGCGGGAUUAAGC
RNAcentral lists this small RNA (90 nucleotides) under Flavobacterium sp. 123. RNAcentral describes it as "Flavo-1 RNA". It matches the Rfam family "Flavo-1 RNA". The record is from Rfam by way of RNAcentral. Lineage: Bacteria; Pseudomonadati; Bacteroidota; Flavobacteriia; Flavobacteriales; Flavobacteriaceae.